This 373-nucleotide ribosomal RNA is filed under the name uncultured organism. RNAcentral describes it as "partial 16S ribosomal RNA". It matches the Rfam family "Bacterial small subunit ribosomal RNA", at positions 527 to 896 of the family's 1533-position model. The record is from RNAcentral.
GGAGGGAGCGAGCGUUGUUCGGAAUCACUGGGCGUAAAGGGCGCGUAGGCGGCCGAGUAAGUCGUGUGUGAAAGACCGGGGCUCAACUCCGUGUACUGCAUGCGAUACUGCCCGGCUAGAGUAAGGUAGAGGCGAGUGGAAUUCCCGGUGUAGCGGUGGAAUGCGUAGAUAUCGGGAAGAACACCUGUGGCGAAGGCGGCUCGCUGGGCCUUUUCUGACGCUGAAGUGCGAAAGCGUGGGGAGCAAACAGGAUUAGAUACCCUGGUAGUCCACGCCGUAAACGAUGGGCACUAGGCGUUGGGAGGAUUGACCCUCUCAGUGCCGUAGCUAACGCGUUAAGUGCCCCCGCCUGGGGAGUACGGCCGCAAGGCUG